RNAcentral lists this ribosomal RNA (253 nucleotides) under uncultured bacterium. Its description in RNAcentral is "partial 16S ribosomal RNA". It matches the Rfam family "Bacterial small subunit ribosomal RNA", at positions 524 to 776 of the family's 1533-position model. The record is from RNAcentral.
GACGAAGGGGGCAAGCGUUGUUCGGAAUUACUGGGCGUAAAGCGCACGUAGGCGGCCAUUCAAGUCGGAUGUGAAAGCCCCGAGCUUAACUCGGGAACUGCAUCUGAUACUGUUGGGCUAGAGACCGGGAGAGGAUAGCGGAAUUCCCAGUGUAGAGGUGAAAUUCGUAGAUAUUGGGAAGAACACCAGUGGCGAAGGCGGCUAUCUGGACCGGUACUGACGCUGAGGUGCGAAAGCGUGGGGAGCAAACAGG